This 292-nucleotide ribosomal RNA is filed under the name uncultured bacterium. RNAcentral's name for it is "partial 16S ribosomal RNA". It matches the Rfam family "Bacterial small subunit ribosomal RNA", at positions 505 to 796 of the family's 1533-position model. The record is from RNAcentral.
GUGUCAGCAGCCGCGGUAAUACGUAGGGUGCAAGCGUUAAUCGGAAUUACUGGGCGUAAAGCGUGCGCAGGCGGUUAUGCAAGACAGGUGUGAAAUCCCCGAGCUCAACUUGGGAACUGCAUUUGUGACUGCAUAGCUAGAGUACGGUAGAGGGGAGUGGAAUUCCGCGUGUAGCAGUGAAAUGCGUAGAUAUGCGGAGGAACACCGAUGGCGAAGGCAGCUCCCUGGACCUGUACUGACGCUCAUGCACGAAAGCGUGGGGAGCAAACAGGAUUAGAUACCCUUGUAGUCC